AAAAAUAGAUAGGUGCAUUUAUUAUCCCACUAAAGUGGCAGUCUGGUAGUCUUCCAUGUGAGUAAUAAUAAAGACACGGGUCGGUUCGGACAUCCAUGGAUCAAUAUUUAUAAACCGGACCCGUCCGCCCCUAUCCACCUAAAACCGCUAUUUGCAGUCUGGCAGCCCACGGAUCAGUUUUAAACCGACCCGGUUCGGUUUUUGACAAUGGUUUUUUGCGGUUUGAGCUGGGUUUUCGGUUUUUGUCCACCCCUA
RNAcentral lists this long non-coding RNA (255 nucleotides) under Trifolium pratense (red clover). RNAcentral's name for it is "long non-coding RNA (TPRA_LNC008279)". Lineage: Eukaryota; Viridiplantae; Streptophyta; Magnoliopsida; Fabales; Fabaceae. The record is from RNAcentral.